UACGUAGGCCUCGAGCGUUAUCCGGAUUUAUUGGGCGUAAAGCGUGUGUAGGAGGUUCGGUAUGUCAGGAGUUAAAUCUUAGGGCUCAACCCUAAGGCCGCUCUUGAAACUGCCGGACUAGAGGGUGUUAGAGGUCUGUGGAACGCACGGUGUAGGGGUGGAAUCCGUUGAUAUCGUGCGGAACACCAAAGGCGAAGGCAGCAGACUGGGGCACUCCUGACUCUGAGACACGAAAGCGUGGGUAGCGAAUGGG
RNAcentral lists this unclassified non-coding RNA (253 nucleotides) under uncultured Parcubacteria group bacterium. Its description in RNAcentral is "contains 16S-23S intergenic spacer region". It matches the Rfam family "Bacterial small subunit ribosomal RNA", at positions 524 to 776 of the family's 1533-position model. The record is from RNAcentral.